CAGCAAGAUGCUGUGGCAGACUCAGCUCCUCUGGCUCCUCCUGCUCUGGGUGCAGGGCUCCAGCGGGGACAUUGUUGUGACUCAGACUCCAGAGUCCCUGGCCGUGUCCCCAGGAGACACAGUCACCAUCAAGUGCAAAACCAGCUCCAGUGUUAGCAGCUGGAUGGCCUUGUACCAGCAGAAACCAGGGCAGGCCCCUAAGCUCCUUCUCUACAGAGCAAGCAACCGCCCCUCAGGGAUCCCCGACCGGUUCAGUGGCAGUGGGUCUGGGACUGACUUCACUUUCACCAUCAGCCGGGUUGAAGCUGGUGAUGCUGGAGAUUAUUACUGCCAGCAGCAUGAUGAUACCCCUCUCACAGUGCUACAGCCCA
Molecule: non-coding RNA, 371 nt
Organism: Alligator sinensis (Chinese alligator)
Lineage: Eukaryota; Metazoa; Chordata; Crocodylia; Alligatoridae
Source: the annotation of a RefSeq genome assembly